UGCUUUAGAUGUGUUUUCCUAGCAACUGCACUGUAACUUCUGUCGCGCGACAAAGUUGUCAAAUUCAUUCUGUGGCAAUUUGUCGAAGAGGAAAGACGCAUCUCUAGAAAUAACACUAUGGACAAACGGUACGAUGAGCUUUUCAACUUCAUCCACCAUGGAUCAUAUCCAGUAGGGAGCAACAAGACUCAGAGGUUAAGUCUUAGGAGGUAUGUCUCCAAAUUUACCUUGAGGGAAGGACAGCUCUUCUUUGCGGGAACAAGACGAGCUGUCAAAAGUAAAGAAGACACCAGGCGGCUCUUCAUAGAGUUUCACAACUCACCGUUGGGUGGCCAUGGGGGGAUCGUAAGGACAUUGAAGGCGAUGUGUUCAAGGUUUUACUGGCAUGGCAUGUCUGUUGACAUUGAACAAUGGAUACUGGAAUGUGACAAAUGCCAGAAGGUUGGGAAGCCUCUGACCUCUGUGCAACCCUUACAGUGUAUAAAGGUGUCUGCUGUCUGGGAGUUGGUAGGCAUUGAUUUAACGGACCAACUACCAAAAACAAGGGUGGC
Molecule: long non-coding RNA, 551 nt
Organism: Alosa alosa (allis shad)
Lineage: Eukaryota; Metazoa; Chordata; Actinopteri; Clupeiformes; Clupeidae
Exons: 5
Source: RefSeq, a predicted model, not a curated record